AUUGAACGCUGGCGGCAGGCCUAACACAUGCAAGUCGAACGGUAGCACAGGGGAGCUUGCUCCUUGGGUGACGAGUGGCGGACGGGUGAGUAAUGUCUGGGAAACUGCCCGAUGGAGGGGGAUAACUACUGGAAACGGUAGCUAAUACCGCAUAACGUCUUCGGACCAAAGUGGGGGACCUUCGGGCCUCACACCAUCGGAUGUGCCCAGAUGGGAUUAGCUAGUAGGUGGGGUAAUGGCUCACCUAGGCGACGAUCCCUAGCUGGUCUGAGAGGAUGACCAGCCACACUGGAACUGAGACACGGUCCAGACUCCUACGGGAGGCAGCAGUGGGGAAUAUUGCACAAUGGGCGCAAGCCUGAUGCAGCCAUGCCGCGUGUAUGAAGAAGGCCUUCGGGUUGUAAAGUACUUUCAGCGGGGAGGAAGGCGUUAAGGUUAAUAACCUUGGCGAUUGACGUUACCCGCAGAAGAAGCACCGGCUAACUCCGUGCCAGCCGCCGCAGUAA
This 506-nucleotide ribosomal RNA is filed under the name uncultured bacterium. RNAcentral's name for it is "partial 16S ribosomal RNA". It matches the Rfam family "Bacterial small subunit ribosomal RNA", at positions 30 to 523 of the family's 1533-position model. The record is from RNAcentral.